Molecule: long non-coding RNA, 997 nt
Filed under: Physcomitrium patens
Lineage: Eukaryota; Viridiplantae; Streptophyta; Bryopsida; Funariales; Funariaceae
Description: long non-coding RNA (PPAT_LNC012499)
Source: RNAcentral
AAUGGUGAAAACGAGGGAUAUUAGCUCUAGGAGAUUGGCAUGAAGAUUGAAGAAGGAAGCCGGCGAUUACCUAAGCAUGUUUUUGAAGUUAUUGUCUAUUUAGUAAUUCCGAUCCCUUUUAAAUUCUUUGAACUUGUUUUCAACUUAAUUAUUAAAAAGUGUGCAAAUUUUGAGUUAAGAUAAAUGAUUCAUUCAUUAAUUAUUGAGAUUUAAAUCUAUCAUAGUAAUUAUUUGGAUUUGGUUUAGGAUUUAGGAUUGCGUUAGGAUUUGAUUUAGGAUUAGAAUUUGGUUAGGAGUUGAUUUAGAAUUUAAGAUUUGAUUAGGAUUUAAUUUAAGAUUUAGGAUUUUAUUAGGAUUUGAUUAGGAUUUGAUUUAGGAUUAAUAUUUGAUUAGAGUUUGAUUUAGGAUUUAGGAUUUAAUUUAGGAUUUGAUUCAUUGUCUAGGAUUUGAUUAGGGUUUAGUUUAAAAUUGAGGAUUUGGUUAGGAUUUUAUUUAGGGUUUAGAAUUUGAUUUAGGAUUUAAGGUUUGAUUUAGGAUUAAAGAUUUGAUUAGGAUUUGGUUCAGGAUUUAGGAUUUGAUAAAGGUUUGAUUUAGGGUUAGGAUUUGGUUAAGAUUUGAUAUAUGGUUUAGAAUUUGGUUAGGAUUUGGUUUAGGAUUUAGGUUUGAUUGAGGGUUAAGAUUUGAUUCAGGAUUAGGAUUUGGUUAAGAAUUAAUUUAGAAUUUAGAAUUUGGUUAAAAUUUGAUUUAGGAUUUAGGAUUUUAUUAAGAUUUUUUUAAGAUUUAAGAUUUUUUUACUUUUAGGCCUAAAGUUUGAAUGAAGUCUAAUAGGAUUUUAAAUACAAUUAAAUUAAGAUUGAAUUGAGAUGUAUUUGAAAAAUAUUUUUGAUCAUUCUAAUAUUUCUUUAAGAUUUUUUAUUGUUUCUUUGUAAUUUCUUUGAGAUUUUUUUGAAUUUGAUUUAAGCUUGCUUAGUAUUUUUAUUAUUUAAUUAGAGUUUAG